GCCUUGCGCGCGGGGUUGGCUGCCGGGAGGUCGACGCUAGUGCGGUCCCCCGCGCGGCGGAGGGGCCCGGGCCGCGGUAUCUGCGCACUGAGACGUCGGCGGAAGGCUAGAGGCCGUGCUCUCGCCCCCGCAGAAGGCCACCACUCCUUGAGAAGGCCGGAGGGACAAAGCACCGGGCCUGCGCCGGGGGCAUUCAAGAAGGAAGCCAGGCCCGACCGGGGGUGGCGCACGCUUCCCGAACCCCAGGCCCACGGCCCGGUUCCGCGCGGGCAGUUGGCGCCCCCUCGGGUCGGCACAGCAGACCUCUUAGUAAUGGUCCCCAGGGAGUACAGGGACUGAGAAACGGAAAUACUACCAUCCUCCAGCCAAUCUGUUGGGAGGACUGCUUGCAGAGGACUCGUGCUCCAGAUGUUGCACUAGAGGCGCUGCAAGUGUGAGCAGCAGGUAGAUGAAACUCAAGAGAAAAGGUGUGGAUAAAUGAAACUAGCCCAUGAUGAACCUGUUUUCUCCGUGACCACAAUAUUAACCAGGAUGAAUGGCGGUGGCAGUGGGCCUGCAUCACAGGUUGCAGCAGAUGUUCUCAAUAUUUCUAUUAAAAUUUCCUUAUUUCCAUAUGCAAGAGGAGCCCCAGAGCUGCAUCCUUAUGGUAGCUACCAUGCCGUGAUGUAAGCUGCCAUUCACUGGGGAGCUUUGGCAAUAGAAUUGGCUAGAUCAGGAAGCCUAUGUCAACUAUGGAACAACAACUUGCAGCUCAUCUCUAUUGAUGAUACACUGCCUCUAGGACUGGGACAGAUAGCCACUGAGUACCUGCUUCAAAUCACCCUGCACGUUUUCUCUUUGGAAAGAUAAGCACUGGAGAACCAUCUCGUUACCUUCAGCAGAAAUGGAAACAAAUCAAGACAUUAAGAAUGCCGCAGUGGACAGCAGUUAUGCAAGGUUCAGCAGAGGAAGUUUUCAAGAUGGUGUGCCUCACUAGCCAGAAAUCAGAAAAGAUCGAAGCUAGCCUUUUCAUCUCAGCUGCUCCUUAAAUCAGUGCAACCCCUCCAAAUUAAUGUGAAUUGAAACUUGCAUUGCUUUUCAACUUAAUUGAAUACUUACUAUAUGUGAACCACUGCACAAAAUAGGGGAAGAAGAUGUGGGAGACAAAGAUGUGGAGCCUGUCUUCAAUAAAUUUACAGUUAGUUUCAGGGUACAUUGUUUUUCUUCUGCUGUUAAUUAGGUGUAUCCCCAAGACAAUAAAUACAUGAAUGGAAAAGUAUAUUCUGUGUUUUAAGUCUCUUUAAUAAAAAACAAAACAAAAUCCAAAAAAACUCCUAACAUGGCAACUCAGGACAUUUUAAUCCUUUUUUUUGUUGUUGGGCUUCUGAUAGGAUCCAUUUUAUUGAUUCCAUAAAUAUUUAGUAGACUUUAGACAUAUUAAUACAUUGUAGUUUGAGUUAAUUUGCAUUAAAUUCUGUUUUUUUCCCCUUAGGUAUAGAUUGUCUGUUGGAAAAAUAUAUUGCUUGUGGAUUUCUUGGGGAGUGGGAAGGUGAAUUAUACCUGUUGUCUCUACAGUCCACUACCUUCCACACCCUAGGGCAGUGGUCCCCAACCUUCUUGGCACCAGGGAUCAGUUUCCUGGAAGACAAUUUUUCUGUGGAUGGUGUGGGGAUGGUUUUGGGAUGGAACUGUUCCACCUCAGAUCAUCAGGCAUUAGUUAGGCUCUCAUAACGAGUGCGCAGCCUAGAUCCCUCACAUGCACAGUUCACAGUAGGGUUUGCGCUGCUAUGAGAAUCUAAGGCUGCCACUGAUCUGACAGGAGGCAGAACUCAGGUGGCAAUGCUUACUGGCCCACUGCUCACCUCUUGCUGUGCGGCCUGGUUCCUAAUAGGCCAUGGACCCCCACAGACGGGUACUAGUCUGCAGCCUGUGGACCCCAGCCCUAGGGGCCUGCCAUUCUGAGUGAGUUAUUAGCAUGAAGAAGAGGAAGAUCUGGAUCAAACGUGGGUGAUGGUACUCAGAGACCCAAGAUAGGAUAGGGAUGGAACAAAAUCCAUCUGGGCAACGGCUCUAUGAAAAUUUGGCUAAGUAAUUAUUUCAGUAUUCAUUGUAUUCAUUGUCCUUCGUGUUCCAUAAGUUAAAUGACUGUCUAAUUUUUCCAAAAAUUUAUUUCUGACUUGAGAAUAAGUGUGUCAUGAUUUUCCCAGUGUAAAGACACUGAUAUAACUGUAGAUACCAGACAUUUUAUGUAGUGUCUAUGACACAUUUUAGUAUGUAUGAGCCAACAAUAGACAUGUCUUUGUCUUGAGGAGUGUCCAUCUGAAUUGAAAAUGUGUCAGCUUUUUUUUAACAUCAUCAACAGACUUCUUAAUUAAGCUGCCAAUACAUACUGCCAAUAGCACUGUGUGCUGUCUGAGAAAUGCAUUGUGUAAGUGCUAUUUCCAUCUUAUUAAAUAAACAAUGUUGCUCUGUAUAAACUGGAUUUAAAGUGUUCUUUGAAUGAGGCAUUAUAUUGCUCCAUAAAUAAUGUGAUGUGAAUUCUCAUAUGAUCCCUUUUAACUUAAUUUCUAAAAAAAUAUUAUUUGCUCCUCAGUAAGGAAUAGCUCUAAUUGGACUGGUAACUUUAGUGAUAUGAUUUGUCUGUAACAGGCUGAAUCGCCCCACUCCCAAACUCCUGGUCGUGAUACUGGAUAUUUGUUAUGCCACUUUUAGUUUGCAUGAGGUAUCUUCCAGGAAGUAUUAGUUAUUAACUUGUGUUCUACUAAACUGUAGAUAUUUAUUUCCUGUUCUGGAAGAUUUCUUGGAGUGUCCAUCUGUGCAUUCCUGGUGCCUAGUGUAGUCUUGCUAAUGGAAUAGCACCUUUAUUGGUGCUACUUAGGGGUUGGUAGCUUACAAUCAAUCUACUUGGAACGUAUCCAAAUAAACUGGAUAUUUUUAUACA
Molecule: long non-coding RNA, 2920 nt
Filed under: Homo sapiens (human)
Lineage: Eukaryota; Metazoa; Chordata; Mammalia; Primates; Hominidae
Description: NR2F1 regulatory antisense RNA 1, transcript variant 33 (NR2F1-AS1)
Source: RNAcentral